This 363-nucleotide transfer-messenger RNA is filed under the name Eggerthellaceae. Its description in RNAcentral is "W1P20-047 sp004555335 Standard tmRNA". It matches the Rfam family "transfer-messenger RNA". Rfam says of the family: Bacterial tmRNA, also known as 10Sa RNA or SsrA, is named for its dual tRNA and mRNA-like properties. Its role is to liberate the mRNA from a stalled ribosome. The record is from RNAcentral. RNAcentral also lists the same sequence under 2 other names. Lineage: Bacteria; Bacillati; Actinomycetota; Coriobacteriia; Eggerthellales.
GGGGGCGACUGGUUUCGACAUGGUAGGUUUGAUCUGAGGAGCAGGUCGUGGUCUCCUCGCCACGUUAAACAGGGGUACUGUCAAGUUUAAUUGGCAAGACUAACACUGGCCGUAUGGCCCUCGCUGCUUAAUCUAGCGCAGCGCGUCAAUCCGGGUUUCUUCUCCUGGGCCCGGUGCGAUGUCAUUUCAGGGAGAUGCUUUCAGGCAUGUAGCCGGUAUGGCCUGAAAAAAGACUAAACCAGCUAGCGUAGGAUGUGUUCGUCGACGAGCGAGUCCUACGCGAAUCCCAGUCGUCGACUAAGCUUGUAGUGCCUUGGGGAUUAUCUAGUAUGGACCGGAGUUCGAUUCUCCGCGCCUCCACCA